This 92-nucleotide antisense RNA is filed under the name Staphylococcus aureus. RNAcentral's name for it is "Fst antitoxin sRNA". It matches the Rfam family "Fst antitoxin sRNA". Rfam says of the family: It is located on the opposite strand of SprA1 sRNA. The record is from Rfam by way of RNAcentral. Lineage: Bacteria; Bacillati; Bacillota; Bacilli; Caryophanales; Staphylococcaceae.
GGAAAUAGUGAGGGGAUUUUUUGGUGCAGCUAUGUCGCCUUAUUAUUUGUUACGAUUGUUUAGCCAAAACGUGAAAAUCGCAACAAUGCAUC